ACAGAGGUCCCAAGCGUUGUUCGGAUUCACUGGGCGUAAAGGGUGCGUAGGUGGUGAGGUAAGUUUGAUGUGAAAGCUCCGGGCUUAACCCGGAAAUGGCAUUGAAUACUACCUUGCUAGAGGGUUGGAGGGGAGACUGGAAUUCUCGGUGUAGCAGUGAAAUGCGUAGAUAUCGAGAGGAACACCAGUGGCGAAGGCGAGUCUCUGGACAACUCCUGACACUGAGGCACGAAAGCUAGGGGAGCAAACAGGAUUAGAUACCCUGGUAGUCCUAGCCCUAAACGGUGCGUACUUGCUGUAGGCGGAAUCGACCCCGCCUGUGGCGAAGUUAACACGAUAAGUACGCCGCCUGGGGAGUACGGCCGCAAGGUUA
This 373-nucleotide ribosomal RNA is filed under the name uncultured bacterium. Its description in RNAcentral is "bacterial SSU rRNA". It matches the Rfam family "Bacterial small subunit ribosomal RNA", at positions 525 to 896 of the family's 1533-position model. The record is from RNAcentral.